UGAGUCGGCCAGGCGGUCGCGUCACGCCGGCCCCGGCCGGUGUGCCGAGGAACGUCCGGGCUCCGCAGGGCAGGGUGGUGGGUAACGCCCACCCGGGGCGACCCGCGGGAAAGUGCCACAGAGAGCAGACCGCCUUCCUGGUCCGCCAGGGAGGUAAGGGUGAAACGGUGGUGUAAGAGACCACCAGCACGGCGGGUGACCGUCGUGGCUCGGUAAACCCCACCCGGAGCAAGACCAGACAGCAGACGCUCGAGGGCUGCCCGCCCGAGUCUGCGGGUAGGUCGCUCGAGACGUGCGGCAACGCACGUCCUAGAUGGAUGGCCGCCACCGCGGCGCCGGCGACGGCGCCGCGGGACAGAACCCGGCGUACCGGCCGACUCAUCCG
Molecule: RNase P RNA, 385 nt
Filed under: Georgenia sp. SUBG003
Lineage: Bacteria; Bacillati; Actinomycetota; Actinomycetes; Allobogoriellales; Allobogoriellaceae
Description: RNase P RNA component class A
Rfam family: Bacterial RNase P class A
About the family: Ribonuclease P (RNase P) is a ubiquitous endoribonuclease, found in archaea, bacteria and eukarya as well as chloroplasts and mitochondria.
Source: RNAcentral